UACGUAGGGGGCAAGCGUUAUCCGGAUUUACUGGGUGUAAAGGGAGCGUAGGCGGCAGUGCAAGUCUGAAGUGAAAGGCAAGGGCUCAACCCUUGGACUGCUUUGAAAACUGUGCUGCUGGAGUGUCGGAGAGGCAAGUGGAAUUCCUAGUGUAGCGGUGAAAUGCGUAGAUAUUAGGAGGAACACCAGUGGCGAAGGCGGCUUGCUGGACGAUGACUGACGUUGAGGCUCGAAAGCGUGGGGAGCAAACAGG
RNAcentral lists this ribosomal RNA (253 nucleotides) under uncultured bacterium. Its description in RNAcentral is "partial 16S ribosomal RNA". It matches the Rfam family "Bacterial small subunit ribosomal RNA", at positions 524 to 776 of the family's 1533-position model. The record is from RNAcentral.